GCCGACGUGGCGGAAUUGGUAGACGCACCGGACUUAAAAUCCGUUGGUCAUUGCGACCGUGGGGGUUCAAGUCCCCCCGUCGGCA
This 85-nucleotide transfer RNA is filed under the name Verrucomicrobiales bacterium. RNAcentral describes it as "tRNA-Leu". It matches the Rfam family "tRNA". From Rfam's summary of the family: Transfer RNA (tRNA) molecules are approximately 80 nucleotides in length. Their secondary structure includes four short double-helical elements and three loops (D, anti-codon, and T loops). The record is from RNAcentral. Lineage: Bacteria; Pseudomonadati; Verrucomicrobiota; Verrucomicrobiia; Verrucomicrobiales.